This is a non-coding RNA of Hymenopellis radicata, 97 nucleotides long. The record is from the annotation of a GenBank genome assembly. NCBI's taxonomy places the organism in Eukaryota, Fungi, Basidiomycota, Agaricomycetes, Agaricales, Physalacriaceae.
GACCUUGUAGUGUAAUGGUUAACACGCUUGACACAUGUGUCCGUAGGAAUAAAUCUCUCAUAGUCAAGAGCUACGAGUUCGACUCUCUUCGAGGGAU